This 305-nucleotide ribosomal RNA is filed under the name uncultured bacterium. RNAcentral's name for it is "bacterial SSU rRNA". It matches the Rfam family "Bacterial small subunit ribosomal RNA", at positions 334 to 637 of the family's 1533-position model. The record is from RNAcentral.
UUGGCCUACGGGGGGCAGCAGUGAGGAAUAUUGGUCAAUGGCCGAGAGGCUGAACCAGCCAAGUCGCGUGAGGGAAGACGGCCCUACGGGUUGUAAACCUCUUUUGUCGGGGAGCAAAGAGAGUCACGUGUGACUCAUUGAGAGUACCCGAAGAAAAAGCAUCGGCUAACUCCGUGCCAGCAGCCGCGGUAAUACGGAGGAUGCGAGCGUUAUCCGGAUUUAUUGGGUUUAAAGGGUGCGCAGGCGGAGGUGCAAGUCAGCGGUCAAAUUGCGGGGCUCACCCCCGUACUGCCGUUGAAACUGCA